CACAGCUCUGCUCUACAUGUGUCACUAUAGGGCCUAGGUGACAACUAUACAGUAGGCAACGGGAAAUGUAUAGAGUACCUACGUUGUAAGGGGACUAGUGGACAACUACACAGCUCUGCUCUACAUGUGUCACUAUAGGGCCUAGGUGACAACUAUACAGUAGGCAACGGGAAAUGUAUAGAGUACCUACGUUGUAAGGGGACUAGUGGACAACUACACAGCUCUGCUCUACAUGUGUCACUAUAGGGCCUAGGUGACAACUAUACAGUAGGCAACGGGAAAUGUAUAGAGUACCUACGUUGUAAGGGGACUAGUGGACAACUACACAGCUCUGCUCUACAUGUGUCACUAUAGGGCCUAGGUGACAACUAUACAGUAGGCAACGGGAAAUGUAUAGAGUACCUACGUUGUAAGGGGACUAGUGGACAACUACACAGC
This is a long non-coding RNA of Oncorhynchus gorbuscha (pink salmon), 438 nucleotides long. RefSeq lists it as uncharacterized. The record is from RefSeq and is a predicted model, not a curated record. The transcript has 3 exons. NCBI's taxonomy places the organism in Eukaryota, Metazoa, Chordata, Actinopteri, Salmoniformes, Salmonidae.